CACCGCGGUUAUACGUGUGGCCCAAGUUGACCAAAUCCGGCGUAAAGGGUGGUUAAUAAUAGAGACACUAAAGCCAAACAUCUUCAAAGCUGUCAUACGCCUCGAGGAAAGGAAGCCCCUUCACGAAAGUAGCUUUAAGUAUUUGACCCCACGGAAGCUAGGAAA
RNAcentral lists this ribosomal RNA (165 nucleotides) under Eviota atriventris. RNAcentral describes it as "partial 12S rRNA". Lineage: Eukaryota; Metazoa; Chordata; Actinopteri; Gobiiformes; Gobiidae. The record is from RNAcentral.